GGAGUUAACACAAUAAGUAAUCCACUUGGGGAGUACGGCCGCAAGGCUGAAACUCAAAGGAAUUGACGGGGGCCCGCACAAGCAGUGGAGUAUGUGGAUUAAUUCGAUGCAACGCGAAGAACCUUACCAGGUCUUGACAUCCCGCUAACGAGGUAGAGAUACGUUAGGUGCCCUUCGGGGAAAGCGGAGACAGGUGGUGCAUGGUUGUCGUCAGCUCGUGUCGUGAGAUGUUGGGUUAAGUCCCGCAACGAGCGCAACCCUUACGGUUAGUUGCUACGCAAGAGCACUCUAGCCGGACCGCCGUUGACAAAACGGAGGAAGGUGGGGAUGAUGUCAAAUCAUCAUGCCCCUUAUGACCUGGGCCUCACACGUACUACAAUGGCCGUUAACAGAGGGAAGCAAAGCCGCGAGGCAGAGCAAAACCCCAAAAACGGUCUCAGUUCGGAUCGUAGGCUGCAACCCGCCUGCGUGAAGUUGGAAUUGCUAGUAAUCGCGGAUCAGCAUGCCGCGGUGAAUACGUUCCCGGGCCUUGUACACACCGCCCGUCACACCAUGGGAGCCGGUAAUGCCCGAAGUCAGUAGCCUAACCGCAAGGAGGGCGCUGCCGAAGGUAGGAUUGGCGACUGGGGUGAAGUCGUAACAAGGUAGCCGU
This 652-nucleotide ribosomal RNA is filed under the name uncultured bacterium. RNAcentral describes it as "bacterial SSU rRNA". It matches the Rfam family "Bacterial small subunit ribosomal RNA", at positions 848 to 1503 of the family's 1533-position model. The record is from RNAcentral.